This 259-nucleotide long non-coding RNA is filed under the name Salvia miltiorrhiza (redroot sage). Its description in RNAcentral is "long non-coding RNA (SMIL_LNC008870)". The record is from RNAcentral. Lineage: Eukaryota; Viridiplantae; Streptophyta; Magnoliopsida; Lamiales; Lamiaceae.
UGUUUUUAAAUUUUUAUGUAAUUUUUUUUUAUGUUUUAGGUGUUUUUAAAUUUUUAUGUAAUUUUUUUUAUGCUUUAGGUGUUUUUAAAUUUUAUGUUUAAUGGCGUAUUUAACUAAUGUUAUUACAAAAAUAUGUUAUUUAAAUUAUGCAAAUAAAUUUAAAGGAAAAACAUAAAAAUCAAAACUAAUGUUAUCAAAUAGGCUAUCAAGGAACCCCAUUGCGGAUGCUCUAAGGAGAGUAUGUUAUUAUCUUAUUUAG